Long non-coding RNA from Bombus pyrosoma, 929 nucleotides. RefSeq lists it as uncharacterized. The record is from RefSeq and is a predicted model, not a curated record. Lineage: Eukaryota; Metazoa; Arthropoda; Insecta; Hymenoptera; Apidae. The transcript has 2 exons.
CUACGCUGGAACUACUGCGUGAUCAAAUUCGAAAAAUAAGGUUUAAAUAUUGUGCUCUCUUUGCUGAAACUUAGGAAGGGAUGCGAAGGACAGUGGCGCAGCCUAUGGAACAAUCAGUGAAGAAUGGCGGGAAAGUGUUUAAAAUUUAAUGGAUGAUUGCAGCAACAUGUACGAUCUCGCUUAUUUAUACUACUUAACCAUUUCGGGAAACAAGAGUACAAGUUUUUAUUCCUUUCAAUAUAAUAAUAAUCGUAAUAAUAAUAGAUAAUAAUAAAAAUAGAUAAUAAUAGCAAUAAUAAUAAUAAUAAUAAUAGAAAUAAUAAUAGAAAUAAUAAUAGCAAUAAUAAUAAUAAUAGUAAUAAUAAUCAACAUAUCGUAAGCUUCCAUACGCAGAGCACGCUAAGUUAAUACAUGUACAUAGUUUCUUUACAAAAAUAAUAACAAUGUUUCGAUGCAACAUUGCGAAUCCAAUGAUCAAUCUCGUCUAGCUAAAUGACACUUUAGCAGCAUUUUUCCUUUGGAUAGAUAACUCUUGUUAACUACAUAAUCCCCGUUAUAUUCGUUCAUUGUUCUUACCGUUCGAUUUUUUCGAAGCAGAUCAUACACGCGUUAUCCGCGUGCACACCACUCCUUUCUCUCUAUCAUUUUCUUUCUUUCUUUUUUUUUUUUUCAUUCUUCUUCACACAUUUUUAUAAAUAAACUACCUUUAUUUUGUCAGUUAAUCGACAUUGUCUUUGGUACAUUUACAACGAACAGCAUAUAUCGCGACAGGAAGUACGGAUUUGGUAUGUCGGACGGGGUACCUACCAUCCGCCGUCAUAAAGCGCACGCAAUUCACGAAAAAAAGAAACAAAUUUCACUUGGAGACCUUUCGCGUGUCGUCUGAGCGCGAAGAUUUCCGUCCGGAAAUUAAAAAUUAAAACAAAUAA